CACGUAGGGGGCAAGCGUUGUCCGGAUUUAUUGGGCGUAAAGAGCUCGUAGGUGGCUCGGUAAGUCGGGUGUGAAAUCUCGGGGCUUAACUCCGAAACUGCAUUCGAUACUGCCGUGCUUGAGGACUGGAGAGGAGACUGGAAUUUACGGUGUAGCGGUGAAAUGCGUAGAUAUCGUAAGGAAGACCAGUGGCGAAGGCGGGUCUCUGGACAGUUCCUGACGCUGAGGCACGAAGGCCAGGGGAGCAAACGGG
RNAcentral lists this ribosomal RNA (253 nucleotides) under uncultured bacterium. RNAcentral's name for it is "partial 16S ribosomal RNA". It matches the Rfam family "Bacterial small subunit ribosomal RNA", at positions 524 to 776 of the family's 1533-position model. The record is from RNAcentral.